CCAUCUCCCUAACAGACUUUCUAGCUGAGGAUGGGGGCACCGGUGGAGGAAGCACCUAUGUCCCCAAACCAGUCAGCUGGGCUGAUGAAACAGACGAUCUGGAAGGAGAUGUGUCAACAACCUGGCACAGUAACGAUGACGAUGUGUACAGGGCACCUCCAAUUGACAGAUCCAUCCUUCCCACUGCUCCACGGGCUGCUCGGGAACCCAAUAUCGACCGGAGCCGUCUUCCCAAAUCGCCACCCUACACUGCUUUCCUAGGGAACCUGCCCUAUGAUGUGACAGAAGACUCUAUUAAGGAAUUCUUUAGAGGACUAAAUAUCAGCGCUGUACGCUUACCACGUGAACCCAGCAAUCCAGACAGGUUGAAAGGCUUUGGCUAUGCGGAGUUUGAGGACCUGGAUUCUCUGCUCAGUGCUCUGAGUCUCAAUGAAGAGUCUCUAGGUAACAGGAGAAUUCGAGUGGACGUUGCUGAUCAAGCACAGGAUAAAGACCGGGAUGAUCGUUCUUUUGGUCGAGAUAGAAAUCGGGAUUCUGA
Molecule: non-coding RNA, 538 nt
Organism: Peromyscus maniculatus bairdii (prairie deer mouse)
Lineage: Eukaryota; Metazoa; Chordata; Mammalia; Rodentia; Cricetidae
Source: RefSeq, a predicted model, not a curated record